RNAcentral lists this non-coding RNA (194 nucleotides) under Lachnospira eligens. Lineage: Bacteria; Bacillati; Bacillota; Clostridia; Lachnospirales; Lachnospiraceae. RNAcentral also lists the same sequence under 1 other name. The record is from RNAcentral.
AACGAAAUAAUCACUGUAAGCGAAGUAUAUAUGUACUUCAGGGAAUCAGGUGGGAAUCCUGAACAGUUCCGCUGCUGUAUACAGGGAGGCGAUAUCCAUUAUGCCACUGGAAGAAGUAUUUAUUCUUAUUCUGGGAAGGCGGAUAUUGCUUAUGAUCUGUGAGUCAGAAGACCGGCUUACAGGCAGAGCCAUAA